This is a long non-coding RNA of Puntigrus tetrazona (Sumatra barb), 3664 nucleotides long. RefSeq lists it as uncharacterized. The record is from RefSeq and is a predicted model, not a curated record. Lineage: Eukaryota; Metazoa; Chordata; Actinopteri; Cypriniformes; Cyprinidae. The transcript is spliced from 2 exons.
UGUGUGUGUGUGUGUGUGAGAUCAACUCCCACUGCUCAGAGGCAGCAUCUGGCAGGGACCUGCUGCCAUAUUCGUUUGAACUUGGAGCCCUUUCAAAUAUGUACCUCAUUAAAGCUGCUUCUGUAAUCAGAGCAGCUGUGUGAGGAGAGCAGAGGCGAUCUGACCCACCUGACCCGGCCGGACACUGACUGACCCAAUGUCUUUUCAUGGGAGCUUGUUUGAAAUAGUCAUUUUAUGAUUUUAUCAUAGUUUCUAAUAAUGAUGCAAAUGAUGGCAGUUGUGAACUGUUUAGUUGAAGUGACUUUGGCAGCAAUUACAGUGUCAAGUUUUUUUGCUUUGAUGAUGUUUGGAGGUUGUCUGCUCUUCUCUGCAGAUCCUCUGGAGGUCUGUGAGGGUGGAUGGGUGCCGUCAGUGGUCCUCCAUCUCCAGCUCUCUCCGGUGCUGUUUGACUGGGUUCAGCUCUGGCUGGUCACUCACAGGGUCUUCAGUGUCCCGUGGGAAGUUUUUUUAUCAGUUCUGAUUCCAGCUUUUCUUCUACCCUGAGCAGUCUUUAGGUCACUGCUGCUGUAGAACACCACCAGUUCAGGUGCUUUUCACUGAGGAGAGGACCUCUCUGGCCUCUCUUUUCAAGGAACUUAUCUGUGAGCUUAGUUUGAUCAGAUGUGACAGAACUGACCAAACAUCCUCCUUCCAUGGCUUCUGCUGCGGCUGUUUGAAGGUCAUCUCAGAGGUCAACAUGUUGUCGUGGCAACAAGCUGAUUUGCUUAAAGACGUUCUAGAAUGGAAUUACUGUCAAAGAAAGAGCGUCCUGUCAUUAAGAAACAUUAGACCGAUGCUUCAACAGCUUAUAUUAAUCACUGCACUGUGAUUCAAAAUCAUGUAAAAAGCACCAUUACUGAAUUAGACUAACUGAAACAUACCACAUAAUUACUGCUCAUGAUUGUGCCACAUCUCAGUUUCUUUAAAAGCUGAAUCGUGUUCUACUGAAGAUGCAUCUGGAGGAGAGCACAAACUGCAACUAGUGGAUUUAUUAUCUACACAUACAUCUACAACAAAGACUAUCAGCCCGCCGCUUCACAUUGCAUCCGGACGGGCUCUGAAUGACCUCGCUGACUUCACUUCAUACACUCCUGGAGCCCACCGCAGCACUGCUGGCCUUUUUCAGAGAGCUCACGCCAUCAUCUCCACAAUUUGUACCAUUCUUCUCCUUCUUCAUGGGUUUCCUGCACAUGAGAAUAAAACGAGAAGUCGUGUUCUAAUGAGAGAAAACACAGUUUUCGUAGCUGAACAUUCUGUCUCUCAUAAAUCAUCUCUCUACGCCUCUGGCUGUCAUCUGGGUUCUGCUCAGUUGUUCGUGUAAGACAUGGCCUAUUUCUAUCCUCCUUUCACUGAAUCUCUGUUCAUUGUGUUUGCGCAGCGUAUGUAAUGCAGGACUGGACUGAAUACAGACUUCUGAAGCUUUGUUCUGAGCAGGACUGUACUCUGCUCCCUGAAGGUGCAUUAGAAGCCAUCAGAGAGUCCUGCACCAAACACAUGACCAUCCAGCACAACGUUACAUAAACAGUAGUGUGCUUUCAUUAGAUAAAAUGUCCUUUCCUUGGGCUAACGCUAAUUAAAACACGGUCUGUGGGUUAGAACAGCAGGGAUUGACGGUGAACAAGAAUAUUUAUAAUAACUGCACACUACAAAUCAUGCUCCAAUAUUAUCAGGCAUUAGUGAGCUGUAUAUAAACACAGCUGUAAUGUUUUGUUCAUGUUUAGUAAUUGUACUUUCAUACGUUACUAGUAAAUUACUACGUUAUUUACAAACCAGUUAUGUAAGAGUUGAGAAGAUCAUUUAGAAAAUGCUUUAUUAACACAUAUUUCCACUGCAAUUCAUCAAGUCAGGGAGUUAUAAAACAUUUAGAAAUUGCCAGACAUCUGUUUUUCUGAUUUCAUCUGAAGUGAGGACUAUUUCUAACUCAUGAAGCAUUUACAAGGAUAUUUAGAGGCUCAUUUAUCUUCCAAACAGACCCAACACAAGAGGAAUACUGAACACACUAAUAUUUGUUCUAGAUGCAAAAAAUGCAACUGUACAACUAUACACUUGAUACAAAAUGAAAAAUAAUGUAAUGUCAUAGAAAAAUUAAAAAUUUAAUUUCAAGUGUACAGUUUCAGUUUUUGCAUCUUUAAAAAAAUAUUUCUGAGUUCUGUAACCCGGUGUUGUGUUUGAUUACUAGGCCUUUAAACCUACUUUGUAACAGAUAUAAAUACAUGCUUAUAAAUCAAGAACAAUGCAUUUAUAGCAUUCACAUGUUCUACUAACAGCAAGUAACUACAUGUCAACUAGCAGUCAUUAGAGGAUUAGUAGACUGUCUGGUCAAUAUCAACAUACUACAUACUGACUUUCAGAAACUUAUUCUACUAACAUUAAACCUAAUGAUAUAACACAGGAUAUAAUUUUGAGCAAUUUUGCCAGGUCACUUUUUUGGUCAGUGUUGUUUGGACACUUUCACCAUUGAGAAGAGGCAACAGACUCCUGUCUGGAUAUCUAUGGGCCCUGUGUCUCAUUAUUUCCCAAAACUGCCCGGCAACAUUGCUCAAAAAGAUGCCCAGUGCAUCAUCAGCCUCAAAGUGCUGGUAGCCAUCCACUUGCAUUUUAUAAAUCAAAAACUGAAAAUCUUCUUUAUUGUUCUACAAAAGACAAAAAGUCGCCUACAUGAGUAACACCUACAUUUUCGGUGGCCUUAGAGAAAUUAAAUAAACUAUUCUUUUAAUUGAGAGAUAAAUAUUUGUGCUUUUCAAAUUCAUCGCACCGCAGUGAAGGUGUAAUCAUCAUCAAAACAAAUCAUCACCCCAUGAUUCUCGAGCUUUCCUUCAAAGUGUGGAACAGUAAUAAAAAUACAUUGGGAAACUUAUUGCAGUGCUUGAUGAUCAGAGCCGCGUGGCUUCACAUCGCUCCUGAAUCAGUCACAUUACACUGAUCCUGGACGACCCACGGCUUCGCUGGCACCCAGCCUCCUCAAUAAUAGAUGUGGCAGGUGGUGACACAACACUUCACAGAGGUAAUCAAUUUUUGAUAUGAAAGCUGUUCGAGUGCAGUGCCCGGCCGUGUUUGAAGUCUGCUGGAGGACGCUCACGCUGGAAGGAUUCAGUCAGAUUCUGCUGCUGGGUCUGGCUUUUAGUUUAUUGUCUUUAUUUUCAGUAUCAUUUAUGUCUGUGUCAUUUUUAAUCCAUGUUGUGUCUCAACGAUCUUGUGAUUCUGUCCCUGGUUCAACAUUUUGAUUUCGAUUAUUAUUUUUGUUUUCAUGUGAAAAUAAAUUGUAAAUGAAAAGUGUGUGAGAGACCCUAUAUGUAUUAAAGGUGACAUAUCAUGAAAAUCUGACUUUUUCAGGUUUUAAGAGUUAUGACCAGAUCCCAGUGCAUCGAUCAACGAGGGAAACGUAAAAAGGAGUAAUCACGUAACUUUAGUGAGGCUUUUUCUGCACCUUAGUCUGUAAGUUUCCAUCUGCUGCGCCGUCAUUUUGAUUUCACAAACACCGGUUCUAAUGCCACGGAGAAAGUUUGUGUUCAGAGACGAGUCCCAGUCUCAGACGAGACGAGAGAGCAGUGGAUUUAUUGUUUAUUUACUGUAUAUUGUUGCUGCCACACAGAUCUGAAAUAAACGUGAUUUCUUUCCAACCGAA